UCUCCGUUGGUGAACCAGCGGAGGGAUCAUUACCGAGUUUACAACUCCCAAACCCCAUGUGAACCUUACCAAACGUUGCUUCGGCGGGAUGCCCCGGGCGCGGGCCGCAAGGCCUCAGCCCCGGAACCAGGCGCCUGCCGGAGACCCCUCAAACUCUUGUUUUACAGGUUGUCUGAGUCUUUAUAAAAUGAAUCAAAACUUUCAACAACGGAUCUCUUGGUUCUG
RNAcentral lists this unclassified non-coding RNA (225 nucleotides) under plant metagenome. RNAcentral's name for it is "partial contains small subunit ribosomal RNA, internal transcribed spacer 1, and 5.8S ribosomal RNA". The record is from RNAcentral.